This is a non-coding RNA of Strigamia maritima, 70 nucleotides long. NCBI's taxonomy places the organism in Eukaryota, Metazoa, Arthropoda, Chilopoda, Geophilomorpha, Linotaeniidae. The record is from Rfam.
UAGACUAAGUGGAGAAGUAGUCUCCUCACUUUGCUAGGAAAGUGAGAUUCAACUCCUCCAACUUAUUUUA